This 82-nucleotide small nuclear RNA is filed under the name Octodon degus (degu). RNAcentral describes it as "U4 spliceosomal RNA (ENSODEG00000025795.1)". It matches the Rfam family "U4 spliceosomal RNA", at positions 1 to 82 of the family's 138-position model. From Rfam's summary of the family: U4 small nuclear RNA (U4 snRNA) is a component of the major U2-dependent spliceosome. The structure of U4 snRNA from yeast and human has been reported. Lineage: Eukaryota; Metazoa; Chordata; Mammalia; Rodentia; Octodontidae. The record is from RNAcentral.
AGCUUUGCGCAAUGGCAGUAUCGUAGCCAAUGAGGUUUAUCCGAGGUGCGAUUAUUGCUAAUUGAAAAAUAAAUAAUGUAUC